CCUACGUGUGGCAGCAGUGAGGAAUAUUGGUCAAUGGGCGAGAGCCUGAACCAGCCAAGUCUCGUGAGGGAGUACUGCCCUAGGGGUUGUACACCUCUUUUGUCGGGGAGCAAAAGCCGGACGUGUCCGGCUGUGAGAGUACCCGAAGAAAAAGCCUCGGCAAACUCCGUGACAGCAGCCGCGGUAAUACGGGGGAUGCGAGGGUUAUACGGAUUUAUUGGGUUAAAAGGGUACGCAGGCGGAGUGUUAAGUCAGCGGUAAAAUCGUGGGGCUCAACCCCAUCCAGCCGUUGAAACUGGGGAUCUAGAGUGUGCGAGAGGGAUGCGGAAUGCGUGGUGUAGCGGUGAAAUGCAUAGAUAUCACGCAGAACCCCGAUUGCGAAGGCAGCAUACCGGUGCACAACUGACGCUCAGGCACGAAAGCGUGGGUAUCGAACAGGAUUAGAUACCCGAGUAGUC
RNAcentral lists this ribosomal RNA (458 nucleotides) under uncultured bacterium. RNAcentral's name for it is "partial 16S ribosomal RNA". It matches the Rfam family "Bacterial small subunit ribosomal RNA", at positions 338 to 795 of the family's 1533-position model. The record is from RNAcentral.